RNAcentral lists this ribosomal RNA (251 nucleotides) under uncultured prokaryote. RNAcentral's name for it is "partial 16S ribosomal RNA". It matches the Rfam family "Bacterial small subunit ribosomal RNA", at positions 525 to 775 of the family's 1533-position model. The record is from RNAcentral.
ACGUAGGGUGCGAGUGUUAAUCGGAAUUACUGGGAGUAAAGCGUGCGCAGGCGGCUAUGCAAGACAGGUGUGAAAUCCCCGGGCAUAACCUGGGAACUGCACUUGUGACUGCAUGGCUAGAGUGCGUCAGAGGGAGGUGGAAUUCCGCGUGUAGCAGUGAAAUGCGUAGAGAUGCGGAGGAACACCGAUGGCGAAGGCAGCCUCCUGGGAUGACACUGACGCUCAUGCACGAAAGCGUGGGGAGCAAACAG